CUACGGGACGCACCAGUGAGGAAUUUUGCGCAAUGGGCGAAAGCCUGACGCAGCAACGCCGCGUGAGUGAUGAAGGCCUUCGGGUCGUAAAGCUCUGUCAAGUGGGAAGAACCUAUGUAAUGUUAAUAUCAUUAUAUACUGACGGUACCACUGAAGGAAGCACCGGCUAACUCCGUGCCAGCAGCCGCGGUAAUACGGGGGGUGCAAGCGUUAUUCGGAAUCAUUGGGCGUAAAGGGCACGUAGGCGGCCUGGUAAGUCAGAUGUGAAAGCCCGGGGCUUAACCCCGGAAGUGCAUUUGAUACUGUCAGGCUUGAGUAUGGGAGAGGGAAGUGGAAUUCCUGGUGUAGAGGUGAAAUUCGUAGAUAUCAGGAGGAACACCGGUGGCGAAGGCGACUUCCUGGACCAAUACUGACGCUGAGGUGCGAAGGCGUGGGUAGCAAACAGGAUUAGAUACCCCUGUAGUC
This 465-nucleotide ribosomal RNA is filed under the name uncultured bacterium. Its description in RNAcentral is "partial 16S ribosomal RNA". It matches the Rfam family "Bacterial small subunit ribosomal RNA", at positions 339 to 795 of the family's 1533-position model. The record is from RNAcentral.